CUGGGCUGUGUCCCAAGGUAUUUCCCCCUGGUUAUCUCCCUGGUCUGUGUACCAAGGUAUUUCCCCCUGGUUAUCUCCCUGGGCUGUGUCCCAAGGGCCUUCCCCCUGGUUAUCUCCCUGGGCUGUGUCCCAAGGUAUUUCCCCCUGGUUAUCUCCCUGGUCUGUGUACCAAGGGCCUUCACCUGGUUAUCUUCCUGGGCUGUGUACCAAGGGCCUUCCCCCUGGUUAUCUCCCUGGGCUGUCUCCCAAGGUAUUUCCCCCUGGUUAUCUCCCUGGGCUGUGUCCCAAGGUAUUUCCCCCUGGUUAUCUCCCUGGUCUGUGUCCCAAGGUAUUUCCCCCUGGUUAUCUCCCUGGUCUGUGUCCCAAGGUAUUUCUCCCUGGUUAUCUCCCUGGGCUGUGUCCCAAGGUAUUUCCCCCUGGUUAUCUCCCUGGUCUGUGUCCCAAGGAUGGAGAAUCAGGAUGCAACCAGGGUCUCUGGAGUCUGACCGGAUAGAGCCUAAAUCACCCUGUGGAUCUCCUGACAGUGACAGUAGAUGUACUGACAUGAAGAAUUCAUGUGUUCAUGUGAUGGGAUUUUAACUCCACUCCAGAAGCCUCACAUCGAUUAACAACACGCAGUGGGUGGGCUUCAUAAAUCAUAUGAUUUUAUACUGCCCUCGGGUAUCAGGCCGUGCAAUCACACAGGCUACAUCCCAAAUGGCGCCCUAUUCCCUAUAAAGUGCACUCUCUAAGCCGUGGUCAACGGUAGUGCCCUAUGUAGGUAAUGAGGUGCCCUUCGGGACGUAAUCACACUGACCUAUUCAGCAGCGGUCUGUGGUCUUCUUAAAACAGAAUCAACAUUCCCUCAUCCUAGAGCUCCUAAAGACUGUCUGGUGUGGACAUUACAAGGCAGCUUGGGAACUUAAUAACAGCUUAUCUGUACGUAAGGGAAACUCCUGACAUAUGUACAGGUACCCGCAAGUAAAGUGAAUUACUGCCACAAACGUAUUAACGUUUAAGCGUCUUCAUCUACUCUUCUCUGUUCCUCUAAUGGGAUGCCCUUAUUGCUGUUUCCGUACUGAAAGAGUCACGCCCUGAGAAAUGACAUCAUUCUUAGAGGAGUGGCCAUUCAUGUCAACGGUCAAAGUUGCAAGUUCACCGUUCUGUUCCCCUCCCUCAGUCUCUCGGUGCUCUUCGAAAGAAAGGAAAUUCCUCUCUACGCGCUGACACACAGAGAGACAGGCAGGCAGGCAGGCAGGCAGACAGACAGACAGACAGACAGGCAG
This is a long non-coding RNA of Oncorhynchus tshawytscha (Chinook salmon), 1265 nucleotides long. The record is from Ensembl. NCBI's taxonomy places the organism in Eukaryota, Metazoa, Chordata, Actinopteri, Salmoniformes, Salmonidae.